AAGUCGUAACAAGGUCUCCGUAGGUGAACCUGCGGAGGGAUCAUUACAGAGAACAUCGCCCGCGAGGGUGACUCUCCAACCCUAUGUUAAUUAUACCUUUGUUGCUUUGGCGAGCCGCUCAGCCACCGGCUCCACGCUGGUGUGUGCUUGCCAGAGGACCCCAAACUCUGUUUAUACGUGUCGUCUGAGUACUAUGUAAUAGUUAAAACUUUCAACAACGGAUCUCUUGGUUCUG
Molecule: unclassified non-coding RNA, 235 nt
Filed under: fungal sp.
Lineage: Eukaryota; Fungi
Also listed under: 1 other name
Description: partial internal transcribed spacer region
Rfam family: Eukaryotic small subunit ribosomal RNA (bases 1-46)
Source: RNAcentral